This 1291-nucleotide ribosomal RNA is filed under the name uncultured bacterium. RNAcentral describes it as "partial 16S ribosomal RNA". It matches the Rfam family "Bacterial small subunit ribosomal RNA", at positions 89 to 1399 of the family's 1533-position model. The record is from RNAcentral.
GAUUUAGUGGCGGACGGGUGAGGAGCGCGUGGGAACCCUACCUCAUACAGGGGGAUAGCAGUUGGAAACGACUGGUAAAAACCGCAUAAGCGCACGGAUGUCGCAUGACACAGUGUGAAAACACUCCGGUGGUAUGAGAUGGACCCGCGUCUGAUUUAGCUAGUUGGUGAGGUAACGGCCCACCAAGGCGACGAUCAGUAGCCGGCCUGAGAGGGUGAACGGCCACAUUGGGACUGAGACACGGCCCAAACUCCUACGGGAGGCAGCAGUGGGGAAUAUUGCACAAUGGGGGAAACCCUGAUGCAGCGACGCCGCGUGAAGGAAGAAGUAUCUCGGUAUGUAAACUUCUAUCAGCAGGGAAGAAAAUGACGGUACCUGACUAAGAAGCCCCGGCUAACUACGUGCCAGCAGCCGCGGUAAUACGUAGGGGGCAAGCGUUAUCCGGAUUUACUGGGUGUAAAGGGAGCGUAGACGGCACGGCAAGCCAGAUGUGAAAGCCCGGGGCUCAACCCCGGGACUGCAUUUGGAACUGCUGAGCUAGAGUGUCGGAGAGGCAAGUGGAAUUCCUAGUGUAGCGGUGAAAUGCGUAGAUAUUAGGAGGAACCCCAGUGGCGAAGGCGGCUUGCUGGACGAUGACUGACGUUGAGGCUCGAAAGCGUGGGGAGCAAACAGAAUUAGAUACCCUGGUAGUCCACGCCGUAAACGAUGACUACAAGGUGUCGGGUGGCAAAGCGAUUCGGUGGCCGCAGCUAACGCAAUAAGCAGUCCACCUGGGGAGUACGUUUGCAAGAAUGGAAACUCAAAGGAAUUGACGGGGGCCCGCACAAGCAGUGGAGUAUGUGGUUUAAUUCGAAGCAACGCGAAGAACCUUACCAGGUCUUGACAUCCUGAGAAUCCUUAAGAGAUUAGGGAGUGCCUUCGGGAACUCAGAGACAGGUGGUGCAUGGUUGUCGUCAGCUCGUGUCGUGAGAUGUUGGGUUAAGUCCCGCAACGAGCGCAACCCUUGCUAUUAGUUGCUACGCAAGAGCACUCUAAUAGGACUGCCGUUGACAAAACGGAGGAAGGUGGGGACGACGUCAAAUCAUCAUGCCCCUUAUGACCUGGGCUACACACGUACUACAAUGGCCAUUAACAGAGGGAAGCAAAACCGCGAGGCAGAGCAAACCCCUAAAAAUGGUCCCAGUUCGGAUUGUAGGCUGCAACCCGCCUACAUGAAGUUGGAAUUGCUAGUAAUCGCGGAUCAGCAUGCCGCGGUGAAUACGUUCCCGGGCCUUGUACACACCGCCCGUCA